UACAUGGGGUGCAAACGUUGCUCGGAAUUAUUGGGCGUAAAGCGCACGUAGGCGGUUCGUUAAGUCGGAUGUGAAAGCCCUCGGCUCAACUGAGGAAGUGCACCCGAAACUGGCGAGCUUGAGUACGAAAGAGGAUCGCGGAAUUCCCGGUGUAGAGGUGAAAUUCGUAGAUAUCGGGAGGAACACCGGUGGCGAAGGCGGUUCUCUGGGCAUGUCCUGGACGCUGAGGAGCGAAAGUGGUGGGGAGCGAACAGG
Molecule: ribosomal RNA, 255 nt
Filed under: uncultured bacterium
Lineage: Bacteria
Description: partial 16S ribosomal RNA
Rfam family: Bacterial small subunit ribosomal RNA
Source: RNAcentral